RNAcentral lists this ribosomal RNA (119 nucleotides) under Physeter macrocephalus (sperm whale). The record is from RNAcentral. Lineage: Eukaryota; Metazoa; Chordata; Mammalia; Artiodactyla; Physeteridae.
GUCAACGGCCAUACAACCCUGAACGCGCCCGAUCUCGUCUGACCUCGGAAGCUAAGCAGGGUCGGGCCUGGUUAGUACUUAGAUGGGAGACCGCCUGCGAAUACCGAGUGAUGUAGGCA